ACCUGGCUGGCUCCGGAAGUACAGCAUGAGACUCUUGAUCUCAGGGUUGUGGGUUCAAGCCCCACAUCGGGUA
Molecule: transfer RNA, 73 nt
Filed under: Mustela putorius furo (domestic ferret)
Lineage: Eukaryota; Metazoa; Chordata; Mammalia; Carnivora; Mustelidae
Rfam family: tRNA
About the family: Transfer RNA (tRNA) molecules are approximately 80 nucleotides in length. Their secondary structure includes four short double-helical elements and three loops (D, anti-codon, and T loops).
Source: Rfam by way of RNAcentral